GCGGCAACAGCUCAAAUUUGAAAUCUGCGUCUUUGCGUCGAGUUGUAAUUUGCAGAGGGCGCUUUGGCAUUGGCAGCGGUCCAAGUUCCUUGGAACAGGACGUCACAGAGGGUGAGAAUCCCGUACGUGGUCGCUAGCCUUUACCGUGUAAAGCCCCUUCGACGAGUCGAGUUGUUUGGGAAUGCAGCUCUAAAUGGGAGGUAAAUUUCUUCUAAAGCUAAAUACUGGCCAGAGACCGAUAGCGCACAAGUAGAGUGAUCGAAAGAUGAAAAGCACUUUGGAAAGAGAGUUAAAAAGCACGUGAAAUUGUUGAAAGGGAAGCGCUUGCAGCCAGACUUGCCUGUAGUUGCUCAUCCGGGUUUUUACCCGGUGCACUCUUCUAUAGGCAGGCCAGCAUCAGUUUGGGCGGUUGGAUAAAGGUCUCUGUCAUGUACCUCUCUUCGGGGAGAACUUAUAGGGGAGACGACAUGCAACCAGCCUGGACUGAGGUCCGCGCAUCUGCUAGGAUGCUGGCGUAAUGGCUGUAAGCGGCCCGUCUUGAAACACGGACCAAGGAGUCUAACAUCUAUGCGAGUGUUUGGGUGUCAAGCCCGAGCGCGUAAUGAAAGUGAACGGAGGUGGGAACCUUUCGGGGUGCACCAUCGACCGAUCCUGAUGUCUUCGGAUGGAUUUGAGUAAGAGCAUAGCUGUUGGGACCCGAAAGAUGGUGAACUAUGCUUGAAUAGGGUGAAGCCAGAGGAAACUCUGGUGGAGGCUCGCAGCGGUUCUGACGUGCAAAUCGAUCGU
This 786-nucleotide ribosomal RNA is filed under the name Paraboeremia putaminum. Its description in RNAcentral is "partial large subunit ribosomal RNA". It matches the Rfam family "Eukaryotic large subunit ribosomal RNA", at positions 98 to 905 of the family's 3401-position model. The record is from RNAcentral. Lineage: Eukaryota; Fungi; Ascomycota; Dothideomycetes; Pleosporales; Didymellaceae.